GACGAACGCUGGCGGCGUGCCUAAUACAUGCAAGUAGGACGCAGUUGCGAACGGGUGAGUAACGCGUAGGUAACUACCUAUUAGAGGGGGAUAACUAUUGGAAACGAUAGCUAAUACCGCAUACUAGUAGAUGGACCUGCGUUGUAUUAGCUAGUAGGUAGGGUAAUGGCCUACCUAGGCAACGAUACAUACCCGACCUGAGAGGGUGAUCGGCCACACGGGGACUGAGGCACGGGCCAGAAUGCUACGGGGAGCAGCAGGAAGGAAACUUCGGGAAAUGGGGGAAACCUGACCGGGCAAAGCCGCGUGAGGGAAGAAGGUUUUCGGAUCGUUAAGCUCUGUUGUUAAGGAAGCGGUACUUAACCAGAAAGGGACGGCUAACUACGUGCCAGCAGCCGCGGUAAUAC
Molecule: ribosomal RNA, 407 nt
Filed under: uncultured bacterium
Lineage: Bacteria
Description: partial 16S ribosomal RNA
Rfam family: Bacterial small subunit ribosomal RNA
Source: RNAcentral